Molecule: ribosomal RNA, 117 nt
Filed under: Propionibacterium cyclohexanicum
Lineage: Bacteria; Bacillati; Actinomycetota; Actinomycetes; Propionibacteriales; Propionibacteriaceae
Source: RNAcentral
UGUGGUGGCCAUGGUGAGAGGGAAACACCCGGUCCCAUUCCGAACCCGGAAGUUAAGCCUCCCAACGCCGAUGGUACUGCAGGGGGAACCCUGUGGGAGACUAGGACGCCGCCACAC